CGAAGCUGCUCGGUCGGGCAGCCCCGGUCGCUUAGCGGCCGAGGAGGCGCCCGUCCUUUUUCCCUGCAGGAUCGCGGAGAUCGGAAAACGGAAUCCACAGCUGUCAACGCCGGAGCAUCCGCGGCCCAUCAGCGGAGCACAGGCCACCAAAGCCGAAUCCGAACUUGAAUUCUGCGCAGCUGAUUGCAGAGCUGUCUUGAGGCCCUGAGGAGCCGGAUC
This is a long non-coding RNA of Cynocephalus volans (Philippine flying lemur), 219 nucleotides long. RefSeq lists it as uncharacterized. NCBI's taxonomy places the organism in Eukaryota, Metazoa, Chordata, Mammalia, Dermoptera, Cynocephalidae. The record is from RefSeq and is a predicted model, not a curated record. The transcript is spliced from 3 exons.